Molecule: ribosomal RNA, 479 nt
Filed under: uncultured bacterium
Lineage: Bacteria
Description: bacterial SSU rRNA
Rfam family: Bacterial small subunit ribosomal RNA
Source: RNAcentral
AGAGUUUGAAAUCCUGGCUCAGGACGAACGCUGGCGGCGUGCUUAACACAUGCAAGUCACGGGGGCCCGCAAGGGCAACCGGCGAACGGGUGCGUAACACGUGAGCAACCUGCCGAUCUGAGGGGGAUAGCCGGGCUAACGCCCGGGUAAUACCGCAUACGUUCUCGAGGGGGAGUCCUCUUGGGAAGAAACCUCCGGGGCAGAUCGAGGGGCUCGCGGCCUAUCAGCUAGUUGGCGAGGUAACGGCUCACCAAGGCGACGACGGGUAGCUGGUCUGAGAGGAUGGCCAGCCACAUUGGGACUGAGAGACGGCCCAGACUCCUACGGGAGGCAGCAGUGGGGAAUCUUGCGCAAUGGCCGAAAGGCUGACGCAGCGACGCCGCGUGUGGGAGGACGCUCUUCGGGGUGUAAACCACUGUUGCCCGGGACGAACAUCCACUUUCGAGUGGACUGACGGUACCGGGUGAGGAAGCACCGGC